This 164-nucleotide ribosomal RNA is filed under the name Ceratobasidium sp. AG-U. RNAcentral's name for it is "5.8S ribosomal RNA". It matches the Rfam family "5.8S ribosomal RNA". From Rfam's summary of the family: 5.8S ribosomal RNA (5.8S rRNA) is a component of the large subunit of the eukaryotic ribosome. It is transcribed by RNA polymerase I as part of the 45S precursor that also contains 18S and 28S rRNA. The record is from RNAcentral. Lineage: Eukaryota; Fungi; Basidiomycota; Agaricomycetes; Cantharellales; Ceratobasidiaceae.
UACUAAGUUUCAACAACGGAUCUCUUGGCUCUCGCAUCGAUGAAGAACGCAGCGAAAUGCGAUAAGUAAUGUGAAUUGCAGAAUUCAGUGAAUCAUCGAAUCUUUGAACGCACCUUGCGCUCCUUGGUAUUCCUUGGAGCAUGCCUGUUUGAGUAUCAUGAAAU